GAUGAACGCUGGCGGCGUGCUUAACACAUGCAAGUCGAACGAGAAGUGGAGACGGAAACCUUCGGGCGGAAGCCUUUAUUUGGGGUGGCGGACGGGUGAGUCACGCGUGGGUAACCUGCCUCAUACAGGGGGAUAACAGUAGGACACGACUGUUAAUACCGCAUCAGACCACAGCUCCGCAUGGUGCGGGGGUAAAAACUCCGGUGGUAUGGGAUGGACCCGCGUGGGAUUAGCCUGCGGGCGGGGGAACGGCCCACCAAAGCGACGAUCGAUAGCCGCGCUGAGAGGAUGACCCGCCACACCGGGACUAAGACACAGCCCAAACUCCUACGGGAGGGAGCAGAGGGGAAUAUUGCACAAUGGGGGAAGCGCUGAUGCAGCGACGCCGGGUAAGCGAAGAAGGAUGUCGGUAUGUACAGCACUAUCAGCAGGGGAGAAAAUGACGGUACCUGAGGAAGAAGCCCCGGCUAACUACGUG
Molecule: ribosomal RNA, 478 nt
Filed under: uncultured bacterium
Lineage: Bacteria
Description: partial 16S ribosomal RNA
Rfam family: Bacterial small subunit ribosomal RNA
Source: RNAcentral